AAUCAUUUGAAAUACACAAUCAAUUUUUAUUUUUUUUAUCACCCAAAAUAUGAAAAUCGCCAGAAUUGUCGUUCAAUUUAAAAAAAAAAAAAAUCAAUGAUACCUAAAAAAUUUAAUAUUUGAAAAACAUUUAUAUCAGCCAGAAUUUAUUUAAGACAGUAAAAAAAAAAUUGUUUGAUAUGGAAUAAGCUUGCAGGAAUCAAACUAAAAUCGGUAAACCACGUCAUUAAAAUUUAAGAAUCCAGAAUAUAAUAUAAUUUUCAAAAAUGGACUACGACUAGAGAUCGGCAUGAUCAUUAUGUCUCACCAUUUCACUUCGUAUCGUGAAAUGUUGGAGAGGGCUCAUGCAAUUUCGUAUCAAAUGACUACAUUUGAACAGUAUUCUCAGUAGAGGAAGGAGUCAUUGGGAAAAAGGAAGUGGAAUGAUCAGAGUAAGGACAAACGUAACUGGCCGAAUAAAAGACCAAGUAUAGGAGUUCGUAUUGGUGGGACAAGUGGGAUUAUUACACCUUGUCCUAAGUGUAAUAAACUCCACAGGGGUGAAUGCUUAUUUGGUAAGAAUAUAUGCUUUCGAUGUAGCAAGCCGGGACACAUUGCCUUACACUGUACAGAACCUCCAAAGAAGGACGAUGAUCAGGACAAUAACAAGAAAGGGAAGGCUCGAGUUUUUGCACUAAACUAGCAUGAGGCGGAGUAGGAUCCGAAUGUGAUAGCAGGUAUGGUAAUAUUAUCUAGAAUACAUAUUUAUGUUCUAAAUUUUACAUCCUUCGGCGCUAAGACUAACACUAUAAUAACGAUAAAUAGGUAUUUUUUUUAUUAUCUGAUGUACCUGCUUACGUACUUUUCGAUUCUGGGGCUACAAAUUCUUUUAUCUUUGCAUCCUUCGUCGCUAGGUCAAACUUUGCAUGUGUGAAAAUGAAUUAUGAAUUUCAGGAAGAACUCUUUGUACAAACCAGAUGACUAAGACUAUGAAGUUAGAGAUUGACGGAAAAAUAUUACAUGCUAACUUAUAACUUUUGGAGAUGAAAGAUUUCGAUGUCACGAGAAAAAAGUAUUAUUUUACAGAUCGGGAGAGGAAGAAUUCCGUUUCUUUGGAGCAAAGUUAUUCAAGCGGAAAAGAUGUUGAAAAAUGAGUCAUGUCAAGGAUUUCUAGUUAAUAUCACUAGUUCCCAAUCUAUAGAAAUGACUUUUAACGAUAUUAACAUCGUGCGAGACUUUGUAGAUGUAUUCCUCGAAGAGUUACCGAGCAUUCCACAAGAUAGGCAAGUUGAAUUUACAAUUGAUUUGGUUCCUAGAGCAGCACCAGUAUCCAAGGCCCUGUACCGAAUGACACAAAGGAACUUCAAGAAUUGAAGUUGCAAUUAGAAGAGUUGCUGGAGAAAGGUUUCAUUCGACCAAGUGUAUCUUCUUGGGGCACUCCUGUACUUUUUGUGAAGAAGAAGGAUGGAAGUAUGUGGAUGUGUAUUGACUAUUGAGAAUGAAUCAUUUAAUUAUCAAAAAUAGAUACCCCCUACCAAGAAUAGAAGCUUUAUUCGACCAAUUAAAGUGUGCAACGGUGUUUUCGAAGAUCGACUUAAGGUCGGGGUAUUAUCAGCUAAAGAUCAAGGCAAGCGAUAUACCAAAAACUGCUUUCAGGACUCAUUAUGAGCAUUACGAGUUCACUGUCACGCCUUUCGGUUUGACCAAUGCUCCAGCGGUAUUUAUAGACCUAGUGAACCGAGUGUUUCAUCAGUAUUUGGACCAGUUCAUAACAGUAUUUAUUGACGAUAUACUUGUGUAUUCCAAAGAUAGGAAGCAGCAUGGGGAACAACUCUGAAUAUUACUUGAUACUUUGAGGGAGGAGAAAUUAUAUGCCAAAUUUAAGAAGUGCGAAUUUUGGCUCGAUCGCAUAGGUUUUCUUGGUCACGUGGUUAACGCCCAAGGAAUUGAAGUAGACCCAGUUAAAGUGGAAACAGUAACUAAUUGACCUAGCUCGUCCACUGCAAGUGAAGUUCGCAGUUUCUUAGGAUUGGUCGGCUAUUAUCGGAGAUUUAUUGAGGGUUUCUAAAAAAUAGCAGGUCCAAUAACUCAGUUGACUCGAAAGGGUGUGAAGUUUCAAUGGACGGGAAAAUGUGAAAAGUAUUUUCAAGAACUUAAACAUAGAUUAGUCUCAGCUCCUGUUUUGACUAUACCUGAAGGUUCGGAUGAGUUUGUAAUUUAUAGCGAUGCCUCCAAACAGGGCUUAGGUUGUGUGUUAAUUCAACAUGGCAAGGUGAUUGCUUAUACCUCGAGACAAUUGAAACAGUACGAGUAGAACUAUCCGACGCAUAACUUGGAACUAGCAGCGGUGGUUCAUGCCUUAAAGAUAUGACGUCAUUAUCUUUAUGGUAGGAAGUGUGAAAUUUAUACGGACCACAAGAGUCUCAAAUACUUUUUCACACAGAAUGAACUGAAUAUGAGAUAGAGGAGAUGGUUGGUGAAAGAUUAUGACUGUACAAUUCAUUACCAUCCGGGUAAGGCUAAUGUAGUCGCAGAUGCCUUAAGCAGAAAGAAGGGAUUACAGUUAGCAAUUUUACCCUCCGUGCAGGAACACUUGAUAAAGGACUUUGAAAAACUAAGAAUGGAAGUCAUCACACCACCAACUCAGACUACAACGAGAAUAAGAGCAUUAAUGAUUCGACCCACUCUUCGGGAUCGAAUUAAGGAAGCACAGGAGAAGGAUCCAUUUUUGCAAAAGAUUAAGGCUAAGAUUGGUACAAAGAAGCGUAUAGGAUUCGGAGUAUCCACAGAUAAAGCAUUGAGUUUUAAAGGAAGAUUGUGUGUACCUAAGGAUGAGGGUAUAAGAAAUGAGAUAUUGGAAGAUGCUUACUCCACCCCGUAUGCGGCACAUUCUAGCGACACAAAAAUGUAUCAAGAUCUUCGAGACACAUUUUGAUGAAGAAACAUGAAAAGAGGAAUUGGUCUAUUCGUGGAAAAAUGUAUGGUCUGUCAGCAGGUUAAGGCAAAACAUCAAAGGCCAUCAGGACUGUUCAGACCACUUGAUAUUCCAGAAUGGAAAUGGGAACACAUAGCGAUGGAUUUUGUGGUAGGUCUUCCAAAAUCAGCAAGAGGUUACAAUGUUAUUUGGGUAAUGGUUGAUCGUUUGACGAAAUCAGCUCAUUUUCUGCCAAUUAAAGUAAAGUUUAGUAUGGAACAACUUGCACAAUUAUACAUCAGGGAAAUAGUCAGAUUGCAUGGAGUUCCUGUCAGCAUUGUUUCAGAUAGAGACACGAGAUUCACAUUGAAAUUUUGGAAUAGUUUACAGGUUGCUAUGGGUACGAAAUUGAAGUUUAGUACUGCUUAUCAUCCUCAGACGGACGAACAAUCAAAAAGAACCAUCCAAACUCUAGAAGAUAUGUUGAGAGCAUGUAUUUUAGAUCUUGGUGGUAGUUGGGAGACACGCCUACCUUUAGUGGAGUUUGCUUAUAACAAUAUUUUUCAGGCCACCAUAGGUAUAGCCCCAUAUGAAGCUCUUUAUGGUAGGAAGUGCAAAUCCCCUAUCCAUUGGGAUGAGGUCGGGGAGAAUAGAAUUUUGGGUCCUGAAAUCAUUCAAUGAAAAGUUGAGGCAGUUGACAAGAUUAGAGCCAGAAUAAAGACAGCACAAGACCGACAAAAAAGUUAUGCUGAUGGUAGGAGAAAGGAUUUUGAAUUUAGUGUGGGCGACAAAGUUUUUCUUAAAGUAGUACCCAUGAAGGGUGUAUUGAGAUUUGGAAAGAAAGGGAAGUCGAGACCGUAAUUCAUUGGACCUUUUGAAAUUCUUGAAAGGAUUGGUAGUUUGUUUAGCUUACAGACUUGCCUUACCACAUGAACUAGCAGCAGUGCAUAAUGUGUUUCAUGUUUCGAUGCUCAGAAAAUAUGUCUAUGAUCCCAAACAAAAAGAUUUAUCGUAUGAGGAAAUCCCAACGAUCAUUUUGGAUAGAAAAGUACAUCAACUCAGAAACAGAAAAGUACCCUUGGUCAAAGUGCUAUGGAGAAAUCAUGGAUGAGACGAGUCAACAUGGGAGAAGGAAGAGGAGCUUAGAAUCAAGUAUCUAGAGCUCUUUGAUUAGCCAAGGUAAAUUUUCGUGGACGAAAAUAUUUCAAGGAGGGGAGGUUGUAAUGUCCCGAAAAUUUUGGUGGAAUGAAAUUUAAUUUUGUAAGCUAUAUUUUAAUGUUUUGAAAAUUUAGGGACUAAGGUAUAUAUAAAGUAAAUUUUAAAUUUUAUUUAGGUUAAAAUAUAUAUAUUGAAAGAGCAAUAAUAAGUAUAUAAAUAUUGGGCUCGUUGGAUAGAUCGUAAUUAAUCAUGCAUAUUAGACUUGAGAAAAAGUUGAUUGGAUAAGUUACACUCAAAAUAUUGAAGUUUAUAGAUCUUGCCACUAAUUAUAAUUGUUUAUAAUUGUUUUGAAUAUAUAAAAGCCGUAACACGUGUGAAUUGGGUGGGCUAGAAUAAGGUAAAUUCUUCCCUUAUUGGUACGUAUAAUAAAAUAUAUAUUAUAUCAACUUUCUUGGAAAUAGUACAUAAUAAUUAUGACCUUGUACCCCAUCAUGUCAGCCAUCCUUGAUUGAAAAUAGAUAAUUUCUUUAAUUGAGUGAAAUGAAACGUGUAUAACAAAAAAAAAAAAAAAAAAACGCGUAUUUUUUGUAACGACCCAAGUCUCUGUAUCCAAGCUUUUAGCUUACGUAUUGUUCGCUCUGGGGUGAGCCUUGCGCCCACUUACCCCUCAAGGCUUUUUGUUGCGUCUUCCAGGAUUCGAACUCAUAACAUUUCCUUUAAGUAAGGCUUAAGUUGAAUUUUGGUACCAAUUGAGUAAGGCCCACCCAAAGCGAACAAUACGUAAACUAACGGUUUGGAUACAGACACCCGGGUCAUUACAAAAUCGAUCCACUUUGUUGGAAUAGAAACUGAUAAAUUGUUUAACUGGAGAUGAAUACGUGUAAAAGAAUCAAGACUUGUGAUUUAAUGUACCAAAUAUAUUAUAUUUGGGCAAGUUUAAAGAAAUUACACUUCCUUUUGAAUCACAACCCACUACUAGCCUCGAUCCUUCACAUGGGUCAUUACCUAACCACAAUUCAACAAGCAUGGAGGGAUAAUUCAUCCCAUCAAUAAACUCUAAGAGAGUCAUUACUUUUGGAGUACGGGGAGCUCUCGUAUUAGAUUAAGAGAAAGGAAUUCAACUUACAAGUAACAUUGAUAGCUUUGAAAUUUGGCAUUGGACUCAUAAAAUGAUUGUUGUUUAAAUCUAACUAGCCUAAUGGCAUAGUUGUGAAGUUAUUGGAAAUCAAACCAGCAAGUUCAUUGAUUUUAGAUUUAGAUCCUGCAAAGAUAUUUACUGAUAUUAUCUGAGAUCUUACCUGUAAAAUGAUUCCCAUGGAGCCAAAGACUGGUGAGUGACCCCAUUGAUGUAACUUUAUCAAUACGACCAGUCAAGCCAUCACCAAAUCUUCAAUUGGACAAAAGUAUAGUCAACAUUUAGCCCCCGUUUGGCUCCCAUUUUCAAAAAAUAAAAAUGGGUGGAAUGGUGUUUUUUUUUUUGAAAAAUGAGUGGUUAAAAAAGAAGUAAAAUAUUUCGAUUUACGCGUAAUAUUAUUUUAUGAAAGAUUGUGUGUUGAAAAUAGGAGAGAGAAAUAAAAUGUAAUGAAAUGUAAUUUAAUGGGGGGUCAAACGAGGGCUUAGUCUCUAAAACUCUAUGAAAUACCACCACCAACCCAAUUGAGAGAAAACUUCAAAACUGUUAAAGAUGUCAUUUUUCCAGGCAAAGAACCAGCCAAAUUUCUUAAAGGAAAGGCUUUGCGUUGGUCAUUUGAUGCAGGCCAUGCCCUCCUAGGUUUUUCAUUUAUUGAUAGAUGACGGUGGUAGAGAGAAGCCGAGUAUAAAUUGAGAAUAUGAGGGCUAAGUUAGAUACCACGUUCUGCAGUUGUUUACUUAGAAUUGGAGAUGGAACAGAAAAAUAUACUUGUAAGUGCAUUAUGCUUUCAGACAGUAUAGUUUUGUCAUUUGAAGAUGAAAUCACAUUUUUAGCAGUUUUGAUACAUCAUGUUUUUUAAAUAAAGAAGCAUAUGAUGACAAUUUCAAUUUACACAUCAAAUUUCAAUUUUGAUAUAUAUAUAUUAUCUUUUAGUUUACACAUCGAAUUUCUAUGCCCCUCAAACAGACACAAUGUACCAUAAAGGUUCUUAUUUCUUAUUCUAGAGGUAUUUUUGAUGCUGAGGCGGAGGUAAAAGGAGAAAGUGAGACCAAAGAGGAUGAAAAAAAAAAGCCUUGGGGUAUAUCUCAUUGAUUUUGAUUUAUUUUUGGUAAUACUAGAUUCUUGUAGAUGAUAGUUCUAAAUGUAUUGAUUAUUGUAUUCUGUUUUCUCGGACAGUUUUUGAUAUCUAUUUGUACUUGAU
Molecule: long non-coding RNA, 6384 nt
Filed under: Olea europaea subsp. europaea
Lineage: Eukaryota; Viridiplantae; Streptophyta; Magnoliopsida; Lamiales; Oleaceae
Source: RNAcentral